UGGAAUGUGACAUCACAUGAAAACUAUGAAUUGAACACAUCUUUUACAUUCUAGAAUCAUUACUAACAUUACCUCGACUGUAAGGGUGUUCAGGAGGUGAUGUAAUUUUAAUGUCCUCCUCAUCAUCACUAUCUGUUAUGGUGAGUGGUCUCGCUCUCCCUUUCCCUUCUGUUUUGUCUGUCUUCUCUGUGUCUGGCCAUGGCACUCAGGCUCUCCUCUACCAAUCCUCUCUGCACCUAUGAUCACGAUGCUUGAGAGCCCCCCAAGGAACCCAUAGGAUUACCAAAACUCUCCAUGGAACUGAACUUUCUCUGUGAUAUCGGGGUCGAUCCUACAAAUUACUAAAGCGACUUAGUGUUUCAUCAUAAGUAGGAUCUUACUUUAAUAUAGGCCCAAUUCUUGAUAAGAAGUUAUUCUUGAUAGCGUGUCAGCUGCUAAUCAGUGCUAACUCGACCAACAAGCCAAUAAUCAUAAAUACAUAAAUACACCUGUUUACACAAAUUAACAAGCUAAAUGACAUCCAGACAUUUCCUCGUGGGUAGGAUAAGUCCAAAACUCUGCUGGCUAAGACAAACCAGCUACCCCUCCUGUCCUGGAGGAGGAGGAGGACAUGAGCACCAAAAUGGACACAAUAGAGCAAGGUUUGCCACCCUGCUACCAAGGACCAGCAGCAGGGGUGUUUGCCUACCAAAAAGCCUCUGCUUUCACCCAGUAAGAUGUGCACAUCUCCUUAUCCACAUUCUCCAUUAUCCAUAUUCAAAGAUGCAGUACAAUCAAUCCAGCUACCAAUAUGGUUUGGCCUUCUGAGGGCACACCACAUGACUGUGCAAAACAAAGCAGUCUCAUUGUGCAUGACCAGACAUGUACCUAUUGAUGCACACAUGACAUUGUUUGUUGACAGCUCGUGUUUUCGAGACUUAACAGACAAGGAUAUGGUACUGCACAGCUAAAUUUAGCUGAUCAGACGCAGAUGCAUCAGAUGCAGAUGCAAAUUCAAGGUGUAGAUAAAAGUGCUAACAGCAGGUUAACAUCUACAGACUCUGCAUACUCCUAUGCAUACUCCUGUUUGCCACAUCUAUGGUAAUAUAUAGAAGCAGUGUGGGUUUCAAACAGCUGAUGGGACUAUCACCCACAGGGCAGCAAUUUCACAGUUGAUGGCAGCCAUGCAUCUACCUGAUGUAGUGAGCAACAUCAUUAACAGUGGUUCGGAUAAGAUUCUAAUUAUUCUAUGUGUCAUUGCUUCCAUAUUAUUUCUUCUUCUGUUUAUUAAAAGCACAGUAACUAGAGUAA
Micropterus dolomieu (smallmouth bass) is the source of this 1290-nucleotide long non-coding RNA. RefSeq lists it as uncharacterized. Lineage: Eukaryota; Metazoa; Chordata; Actinopteri; Centrarchiformes; Centrarchidae. The transcript is spliced from 2 exons. The record is from RefSeq and is a predicted model, not a curated record.